GAUGAACGCUGGCGGCGUGCCUAAUACAUGCAGGUCGAGCGAACGGACGAGAAGCUUGCUUCUCUGAUGUUAGCGGCGGACGGGUGAGUAACACGUGGAUGACCUACCUAUAAGACUGGGAUAACUUCGGGAAACCGGAGCUAAUACCGGAUAAUAUUUUGAACCGCAUGGUUCAAAAGUGAAAGACGGUCUUGCUGUCACUUAUAGAUGGAUCCGCGCUGCAUUAGCUAGUUGGUAAGGUAACGGCUUACCAAGGCAACGAUGCAUAGCCGACCUGAGAGGGUGAUCGGCCACACUGGAACUGAGACACGGUCCAGACUCCUACGGGAGGCAGCGGUAGGGAAUCUUCCGCAAUGGGCGAAAGCCUGACGGAGCAACGCCGCGUGAGUGAUGAAGGUCUUCGGAUCGUAAAACUCUGUUAUUAGGGAAGAACAUAUGUGUAAGUAACUGUGCACAUCUUGACGGUACCUAAUCAGAAAGCCACGGCUAACUACGUG
This 497-nucleotide ribosomal RNA is filed under the name uncultured bacterium. RNAcentral's name for it is "partial 16S ribosomal RNA". It matches the Rfam family "Bacterial small subunit ribosomal RNA", at positions 28 to 507 of the family's 1533-position model. The record is from RNAcentral.